AUGACUUCAAGCUUAAGAUGGAGAAUGUUGGAUAAGCUUGAUUUAUAAGUUUCCUUUUGUUAUUAGAGUUAUGUUUAUCUAUAAGAUUAGGAGAUAUGAUUGUGAUAAUACUAUUAAAAUUAGGAUAUAUCUAGUUCUAUAUAUAUGGAGAUGCAUUGUGUUGUUGCAUAACAUAUGAUUUGUGAUUUGAGCUUGUGAUUGAUUGAAUAAGAGAAGGACUUCUUAUUAAGGUUGUGAUUCUAUAGUUCAAACCGAAAAAUUAUUAGAAGAACACACACUCUUCUCCAACUUUGUCUUCUUAACUUCUUUCUCACCUUUUGUUCGAUUUGCUCAACACACACAGCUUCACGUGCUAUCUUCUACCUUUAUUAACUUCGUUUUGAACGCUCUGUCCACAGAUAUAUUUUC
Molecule: long non-coding RNA, 408 nt
Filed under: Brassica napus (rape)
Lineage: Eukaryota; Viridiplantae; Streptophyta; Magnoliopsida; Brassicales; Brassicaceae
Description: long non-coding RNA (BNAP_LNC011386)
Source: RNAcentral